RNAcentral lists this ribosomal RNA (351 nucleotides) under Atherina boyeri (big-scale sand smelt). RNAcentral's name for it is "partial 12S ribosomal RNA". It matches the Rfam family "Bacterial small subunit ribosomal RNA", at positions 866 to 1385 of the family's 1533-position model. The record is from RNAcentral. Lineage: Eukaryota; Metazoa; Chordata; Actinopteri; Atheriniformes; Atherinidae.
CAUUCGCCUGGGGACUACGAGCUCUAGCUUGAAACCCAAAGGACUUGGCGGUGCUUUAGAUCCACCUAGAGGAGCCUGUUCUGGAACCGAUAACCCCCGUUUAACCUCACCCUCCCUUGCUUAUUCCGCCUAUAUACCGCCGUCGUCAGCUUACCCUGUGAAGGCAGCAUAGUAAGCAAAACCAGUACAACUCAAAACGUCAGGUCGAGGUGUAGCAUACGGGAGGGGAAGAAAUGGGCUACAUUCUCUGGUUAAGAGAAUACGGAUAAUGACAUGAAAAAUCAUUUGAAGGAGGAUUUAGUAGUAAGCAAAAAGCAGAGUGUUUUGCUGAAACCGGCCCUGAAGCGCGCA